Gasterosteus aculeatus aculeatus (three-spined stickleback) is the source of this 3541-nucleotide long non-coding RNA. The record is from Ensembl. Lineage: Eukaryota; Metazoa; Chordata; Actinopteri; Perciformes; Gasterosteidae.
UCUCAGUAGUACCCCUCACCAUUAGCAUUUCAACUUGGAUUUGGGGGGAUUUUGUGAAUCUGUAAACAAAGUUUGAAGCAGGGCAAUGUGGGGAGGUAAUAAAGCCUCCACUGUACGACGAACAUAGAACAAUGUGGAGCUGCCUUAAGGAAUCUGUGACCAAGCUUUGCCUACAAAAGGCUGUUCUUCACAGAUGGGAGGAGCCCUCCCCACGUCAUAUUUUUAGACUCCAGUCGGAACUUUGAAUUUGUGAAUACACAAGGUUAAUAGAUGGUGAUGUGUACACCUGUGAGGACGUCAGGUUGCUGAUCACAGGAAUUGAGACAGACUUUUUGCAAGUUUUAGGUUUGAAAAUGAAAAACCCUGAAAAUGUGUUUAGCUUUCAGUUACGCAUAGAAACCUGGAACACUUUUUAUACCAAAGACAGCUUUUAGUGUUGAGCAUAAGGACAAGGUUUUGUUAAAAAAAUUUUAACAUUUAAAAAUGAUAAAUGAAUGUGAGAAGCAUCUAAACAUUUGUUUCAUCUCUCUCCAUAACUUCAGAUAGUUCAGAAAGAAACUAAAGCAUUAUAUUACAUAUUUUACAAGAUCACAUUCUAAAUAUACUUGUACAAUAAGGCUAUUGAUAAUUUUAAGGUUAUUUUUAUUUGCAUUUAUAUGGAAUUGUACCUCAAUAGUAAACGCUCAGGAGUCCAUUGCUGGUUAAAUAUAGUUGCUCCAUGCCCGGAUGCAACUCUAUAACCCACAACACAAAAUGUCAGCACAAUUUAAACAAUGGAUGUCAUGUGUACAGAAUGAACAAUGUAAAAGGUGUACACUACAUUCAAUUCCAUUCAAAACAGUGUGUCUUGUGACACACUAGAGGAGCCAUACAAACAAGACGGUUAACCAUCAUUAUUUUGUUGCACGUUAAAAAGCUGCUCUAUAUAAUGUCACAAUGUGCUGUUCUCAAAUGGACUCAGAUGUCAUAAGUGAUCCUGUGACUGCUCCAUUAAGGCCUCACUGUGUUGUGCUGCCACUAUCAGAAGUCAUGCUAAUUAGUGGUUUUGGUGAAAUGCACGAAGACCCAUAGGGGAAACGCCCGACACAAAGAUUCGUUGUUACUUCUACAGUUAUUGAUGCGGUGGUUGGAAAUGUCCUCUUUGUAAAGAGAGGUGGAACGAGCUCUCUGAAGACAUCAGGACCGCAGAGAGCCUUAACGUCUUCAGACUAAAGACACACCUCUUGAGACUCUAACUCGACUAAAAGACUAACAAAUUGUAGCACUUACAUUGUACUUAUAAUGCCACUUAUCUAUAGCAAAUUGUAAAUUGGUUUAUUUCACAAAAUUUCCUGUUUCUUGUUUCUUGCUCUUGAGUUUGUACCCCUAUGGUUGAAUGCACUUAUUUUAAGUCACUUUGGAUAAAAGCGUCAGCUAAAUGACAUGUAAUGUAAAUGUAAAUAAUUUGGCUAUACAUAGAUACACACAUUUGUUUUUGUUCUUUAAUUAUUAUUUGAAUUAUUUGAAAGGCGUCAGCUAAAUGACAUGUAAUGUAAUGAUGUUUUGAGUAUGAUGCAUAAUCUAAAUCCACACAGCACAGAGUUCGUAGGUGAGAUAAUUUAGAUUCAUUAUAGAAUAUAAUACUAUGCCAAUAAUGUAUGGAUACACAGAAACCUACACUGUAAAACAUUACCUGGUCUCUGCAAUAAAUAACCUGUCAUGUCACCAUAAACAAUAGUAUAUAUCAAACAAAAUGAUUAGUUGAUACCGUAGUCACACGUAGUACCAUGCCAGGUGGUGCAGGAUCUAAGUGAUCUUGUAAGUCUGCUACAAGGACCAGGUCUCUGUGGUAAGACGCCUCCGAUCCCAGUUGGACUUGGUGUUACAAUAAAUAUCAUUUAAAUCCCAAAAUAGAUAUCUGUAACCUUUAUCAGCAGAAAACAACAUGUUGUCCAAUGCUGAUCUAUCUGAGUUUGGGAGUGAUGUCACUGCUACCCCCUGUCCUUUGGGUGACUCGACCCCCCCCCCCGGUCUGGUCCUGUGGUGCCCCCUCUGUCAGUGGGUUAAUGAUCGUCCAUGUCCAGUGAUGGAGCCCGAAGCAGAUCACUGACUUGAAUAAAAUAAAGGGCCAGUGCUUGAGACCCCGUUGUGGGGGAUGGGUCAUGGGGAGAGGGGGCGGGGGUACUCUGGACACAUGAAGCCUAACAUUGUGCAGCUUCCACAAUGGACACACUGUCGACACGAUGCGGCUAAUGAAAUUAGCCGGGAGAUGGUGCAUAAAUUCCCCCAGAAAUCCUCUGAUGAGCGAGUGUUGGACCCAAGUGAGGGUGGCGGGUGGACUGGGCACGCAGUGACCUGUCACACACACUGAAGAGCCCGUUAUUCAGAGUACAGACUCUCGCCCUAAGGACCUGGGCUUUAUCCCGCAGGCUGGAGUUCGGAGGUCACAAAGGAGACAUGAUGUGAGCGAGGUCAAUCCUCCAUUAUGAGCUUUACAAGUUGGACUGUUGCUUUAUUUUAACACGCAGUCAUGGUCACAUGCACACACUGGAAGAUGAUUUGACCAUCAAAUAAAAUGACCAACAAAUAUAAGAAACUAUGACCAACUGGUCACAAGAUGUCACAUUAAUGCUAAAUUACUGCAAGGCUAGCAGCAAAGCUAACUGUCUCACAAUCAUCAAUCAACACAGGCAUAAAUGCAUCAGCUUCAUGUGAAAUACAUAAUAAGAGGACUAAACAUUUUGUAAUAUCUAACAACGUAUUUCAUUUUUGUGGAACUUUUGUGUGUGCGUGUGUGUGUUUGUGUGACUGCUGGCAGUAGACAGAAGGUCAUUGGACUAAUCUCUGGUGGGGACAAGUCUGCCUACAGGUGGGAGUCUGACCAUCUGGUGUCGUGGUGCAGCCAGAACAACCUGGAGCUCAACGCUCUAAAGACAGUGGAGAUGGUUGUGGAUUUCCGGCGGAACAGAGCCCCACCCUCCCCCAUCACCCUGUGUGACUCCCCCGUCACUAUUGUGGAUUCCUUCCGUUUCCUGGGCUCCAUCAUCACCCAGGACCUCAAGUGGGAGCUGAACAUCAGCUCCAUCACCAAGAAGGCUCAGCAGAGGUUGUUCUUCCUGAGGCAGCUGAAGAAACUCAACCUGCCAAAGACGAUGAUGGUCCACUUCUACACGGCCAUCAUCGAGUCCAUCCUCUGCUCCUCCAUCACCGUCUGGUACGCUGCAGCCACAGCCAAGGACAAGGGCAGGCUGCAGCGUGUCAUCCGCUCUGCAGAGAGGGUGAUCGGCUGCAAUCUGCCGUCCCUGCAGGACUUGUUCGCUUCCAGGUCUCUGAAGCGAGCUAAAAAGAUGGUAGCCGACCCCUCUCACCCCGGACAAAAACUGUUUGUGCCCCUUCCAUCUGGGAGGACAAUGAGGUCCAUCAGGACCAAGACCUCACGCCACACAACAGUUUCGUCCCGUCGGCAGUCGGGCUCAUCAACAGAGCCCGGUCCCCCACUGAGACUGGUUAUCUGCCAGUGCACUUUAUUUUUAACUUUUUAAUUUUAAUUAAAUUUUCUUUU